This 97-nucleotide microRNA precursor is filed under the name Oryza punctata. Its description in RNAcentral is "pre miRNA MIR439". The record is from RNAcentral. Lineage: Eukaryota; Viridiplantae; Streptophyta; Magnoliopsida; Poales; Poaceae.
ACAGGACCUAUCGAACAGCCCCUGUUCGACAGGAUGCCAGUCGAACUGUGGCCGUUCGACAGGCUAGCCUGUCGAACUGGUGGUGUUCGACAGGCCG